RNAcentral lists this ribosomal RNA (783 nucleotides) under Enterococcus faecium. Its description in RNAcentral is "partial 23S ribosomal RNA". It matches the Rfam family "Bacterial large subunit ribosomal RNA", at positions 103 to 889 of the family's 2925-position model. The record is from RNAcentral. Lineage: Bacteria; Bacillati; Bacillota; Bacilli; Lactobacillales; Enterococcaceae.
UCCAGAGAUUUCCGAAUGGGGGAACCCAACAUCUUUAAUAGGAUGUUACGAUUGUGUGAAUACAUAGCACAUUCGAGGUAGACGCAGAGAACUGAAACAUCUAAGUACCUGCAGGAAGAGAAAGAAAAUUCGAUUCCCUGAGUAGCGGCGAGCGAAACGGGAAAAGCCCAAACCAGCAAGCUUGCUUGUUGGGGUUGUAGGACUCCAAUAUGGUAGUUCUUUCAGAUAGUCGAAUGACUUGGAAAAGUCAGUCAAAGAGGGUAAAAACCCCGUAGACGAAAUGUGGAAGACACCUAGGAGGAUCCUGAGUACGGCGGAACACGAGAAAUUCCGUCGGAAUCCGGGAGGACCAUCUCCCAAGGCUAAAUACUCCCUAGUGACCGAUAGUGAACCAGUACCGUGAGGGAAAGGUGAAAAGCACCCCGGAAGGGGAGUGAAAUAGAACCUGAAACCGUGUGCCUACAACAAGUCAAAGCCCGUUAAUGGGUGAUGGCGUGCCUUUUGUAGAAUGAACCGGCGAGUUACGAUUGCAUGCGAGGUUAAGUUGAAGAGACGGAGCCGCAGCGAAAGCGAGUCUGAAUAGGGCGUUUGAGUAUGUAGUCGUAGACCCGAAACCAUGUGAUCUACCCAUGUCCAGGUUGAAGGUGCGGUAAAACGCACUGGAGGACCGAACCCACGUACGUUGAAAAGUGCGGGGAUGAGGUGUGGGUAGCGGAGAAAUUCCAAACGAACUUGGAGAUAGCUGGUUCUCUCCGAAAUAGCUUUAGGGCUAGCCUCGGAAUU